UACAAAAGGGAGGAUGCAGGCCUUAGAGGGGCAUAGCCCAGGACUCCAGCACAGGGCGAGCCAGGGAGGGGGACGCUCCUCAGCCUAGUGUCGUAGACAGCAAGAGUGGGAACAAUUCUACUCUCUUUUUUUUUGCUGUUUUUGAGAAUUUUUUUAUUUAUUUUUAAUUGUUUUUAGACAGCAGCUAGGUAAGAAAAUAUGACAGGGGCUCAUGCUAGAGAAUAUACGCACGGCGCGCUGCCACCCUACAGGCGUCAGUCUGUCGAAACUGGGUGAGAGGAGGACGCAGACACCGGGUGCUGAAGGUUGCUCGUCUGAGUGGAGGAAUCUGUGGAGCUCUCCAGGGGUGGCCUACAGGCUGCUAUGGCUGGUCAAACGGAACCAAGUCCGAAUUCCCUGGAGGUUUGGUCCCCUUCAACCAGCUAUGGCAGUGCUGAACUCUCCAGCCUCUGACCAAGGCGCUGCCACCGAUGGAAUAACAUUAUCAUUGAUUAUUAUUUAGUUGUUUUAAUUUUCACUUCUUUAAUGUUUUCAAUUUCUAUUUGAUCUUUCGUUUAAUCCAGUGCUAUAUGUUAAUGUAUAUGACCGUUGUAGAAAUUUGUUAGAAUUGCAGAAUUUUAUUUCUAUAAUUUUUUUUAAUGGCUAUUUCUAUCAUGUGUAAUAAAUGCAUUCAGAGGACUUGCCGUGAAGAUUUUGGUUCUUACACAUAGACGAUGUGGGGGCAGAUAUACUAAGCCUAAGCCUGGCAUUACAUACACCAGCCUAAAGUCCAUAGCCCAAUGCGCCAAAUUUAUUACACAUCUUCCUGCAGUUUGUGCGCCAGAAUUUGACAUCUAUCUGAGCCGUAAUUUACUCCAGUUUUUGGCAUAAAAUAUAGAAAAUCCACCAGGCCGAGGAAGACGUUUGAAAAGCACAAAAAGUUUCAAAUUAUAAACUUUUUUAUGACACAAAAGUGGGUCUUGCCUAGUUGCCAAAAAGUCCCAAAUUUGCAGGGACUGUUACAGGAAUUUUGGGCUAUCCUGGGUUGAAAAUCUGUGGUGCCUAUGUAAGCCCCACCCAUAAUUGGGCAGUCCUGGGUUGGUUCCGGUGCAUUCCCAGGGGCGGGGCUUACAUGCCUCAAAUAUAACAAAUACAAUGCCGAUAAGUAUGGUCUUGCAUAGUAGCCAACUGUCCUAAAUUUGCAGGGAUUGUUACUGAAUUUCAGAGUCAGUCCUGGCAAAUUCAGGCAGUCUCUGGGUGAACAUGGGUGGGGCUAACUUUAACCCCACCCACACAUGGGUGUUUCCAGGCAUUCCCAGGGGUGGAGAUUGGGAUGCCCCAUUUAUUUCAAUCGAAACGCGCGUCGGGGUGUGCGGUCUUCCUGUGGACUUGUUACCUUUUUUCCCGCUUAUUGGAUGUAUUUUAUUGCGGUUUGAGCCUCCUGAACAAACGUUUACCAUAUUUCUUUGCCAAUUUUAUGUGGCUUGCACAUGCACUUUACCAUCUGAUUGAAUAGAUAUAUAUCUAAUUAAAGACUCCCACCUGAGAGUUGCCAUUGUUUUUCUGCUUAUCCCGCAGUUUGCACAGGCACUUUAUACUUGGUGACAUUAUCUGCACUCUCAUGGAUUGUGGACAUCUAUUUAUAUAUAUCUUAUAUAGCAGUUUUUUCGUUUACAGGCUCUUGUGUUUAGGUCACUUGCUUCAUUAUACUCUUGUACUCUGCAAAAUUCUCCCAGGACUGUACCGCACUGUUUGCAUUUGUCUGUCGGCUCCUUUGUAUGUUUUAAUUAUGCAUUCAAUAAAAUAAUAUUUUUAUAGCUUA
This is a long non-coding RNA of Bufo gargarizans (Asiatic toad), 1801 nucleotides long. RefSeq lists it as uncharacterized. Lineage: Eukaryota; Metazoa; Chordata; Amphibia; Anura; Bufonidae. The record is from RefSeq and is a predicted model, not a curated record. The transcript has 2 exons.